Molecule: ribosomal RNA, 468 nt
Filed under: uncultured bacterium
Lineage: Bacteria
Description: partial 16S ribosomal RNA
Rfam family: Bacterial small subunit ribosomal RNA
Source: RNAcentral
GACGAACGCUGGCGGCGUGCUUAACACAUGCAAGUCGAACGGAAAGGCCCUGCUUUUGUGGGGUGCUCGAGUGGCGAACGGGUGAGUAACACGUGAGUAACCUGCCCUUGACUUUGGGAUAACUUCAGGAAACUGGGGCUAAUACCGGAUAGGAGCUCCUGCUGCAUGGUGGGGGUUGGAAAGUUUCGGCGGUUGGGGAUGGACUCGCGGCUUAUCAGCUUGUUGGUGGGGUAGUGGCAUACCCAGCGUUUGGCUGGUAGCCGGCCUGGGAGGGGGGACGGGCACCAUGGGACUGAGAUACGGCCCAGACGCCUACGGGAGGCAGCAGGGGGGAAUAUUGCACAAUGGGCGGAAGCCUGAUGCAGCAACGCCGCGUGCGGGAUGACGGCCUUCGGGUUGUAAACCGCUUUCGCCUGUGACGAAGCGUGAGUGACGGUAAUGGGUAAAGAAGCACCGGCUAACUACGUG